UACGUAGGUGGCGAGCGUUAUCCGGAUUUACUGGGUGUAAAGGGCGUGUAGGCGGGUUUGCAAGUCGGGUGUGAAGGAUCCAGGCUUAACUUGGAGAGGUCAUCCGAAACUGCAGAUCUUGAGUGCUGGAGAGGAUAGUGGAAUUCCUGGUGUAGCGGUAAAAUGCGUAGAUAUCAGGAGGAACACCAGUGGCGAAGGCGGCUAUCUGGACAGUAACUGACGCUGAGGCGCGAAAGCGUGGGGAGCAAACAGGAUUAGAUACCCU
This 265-nucleotide ribosomal RNA is filed under the name uncultured prokaryote. RNAcentral describes it as "partial 16S ribosomal RNA". It matches the Rfam family "Bacterial small subunit ribosomal RNA", at positions 524 to 788 of the family's 1533-position model. The record is from RNAcentral.